This 1461-nucleotide ribosomal RNA is filed under the name metagenome. RNAcentral describes it as "bacterial SSU rRNA". It matches the Rfam family "Bacterial small subunit ribosomal RNA". The record is from RNAcentral.
AGAGUUUGAUCCUGGCUCAGGAUAAACGCUGGCGGCGUGCAUAACACAUGUAAGUCGAACGAUGAACUAUACUAUUUAUAGUGUGGGGAUUAGUGGCGAACGGGUGAGUAACACGUAGGUGACCUGCCCCAAAGAAAGGAAUAACUCUGCGAAAGCGGAGCUAAUACUUUAUAUGAUCGGUUAUUCGUUUAGCCGAUUAAAGCUCUGGCGCUUUGGGAGGGGCCUGCGGCCCAUCAGCUAGUUGGUAGGGUAAUGGCCUACCAAGGCUAAGACGGGUAGCUGGUCUGAGAGGACGAUCAGCCACAAUGGCACUGAAAUACGGGCCAUACUCCUACGGGAGGCAGCAGUGAGGAAUAUUGGACAAUCGACGAAAGUCGGAUCCAGCAACGCCGCGUGAACGAUGAAGGCCUUCGGGUCGUAAAGUUCUUUUAAGAGGGAAGAGGAAGGACGGUACCUCUUGAAUAAGUCUCGGCUAACUACGUGCCAGCAGCCGCGGUAACACGUAGGAGGCUGGCGUUAUCCGGAUUCAUUGGGCGUAAAGCGCGCGCAGGUGGCUAGGUAAGUCGGGUGUGAAAGCUCCGAACUUAAUUCGGAGAGGUCAUUCGAUACUGUCUAGCUUGAGAGCGAGAGAGGGAAGCGGAAUUCCGGGUGUAGUGGUGAAAUGCGUAGAUAUCCGGAGGAACACCAGUGGCGUAGGCGGCUUCCUGGCUCGUUUCUGACACUAAGGCGCGAAAGCGUGGGUAGCGAACGGAAUUAGAGACUCCGGUAGUCCACGUUGUAAACGAUGGGUACUGGGUGUGGGGAGUAUUAAUCCUCUCUGUGCCGUAGCUAACGCGUUAAGUACCCCGCCUGCAGACUACGGCCGCAAGGCUAAAACGCAAAGGAAUUGACGGGUCUCCGCACAAGCAGCGGAGCGUGUGGUUCAAUUCGAAGAUACACGAAGAACCUUACCUGGGUUUGACAUGUUGGUAGUAAUGAAGCGAAAGCGGAAUGAUCCCUCGGGAAGCCGUCACAGGUGCUGCAUGGCUGUCGUCAGCUCGUGCCGUGAGGUGUUGGGUUAAGUCCUGUAACGAGCGCAACCCUUACUGCUAGUUACAAGUGUCUAGCGGAACUGCCGGUGACAAGCCGGAGGAAGGUGGGGAUGACGUCAAGUCAGCAUGGCCUUUAUAUCCAGGGCUACACACACGCUACAAUGGCCGGUGCAAUGGGUCGCCAAGCCGCGAGGCGGAGCUAAUCCUUAAUACCGGUCCCAGUUCGAAUUGCAGGCUGCAACUCGCCUGCAUGAAGUUGGAGUUGCUAGUAAACGCGCGUCAGCAAUAGUGCGUUGAAUACGUUCCCGGAGAUUGUACACACCGCCCGUCACAUCAUGGGAGUUGGUAACACCUGAAGUCAGUGGGCUAACCGCAAGGAGGCAGCUGUCGAAGGUGGGACUAGCGACUGGGAUGAAGUCGUAACAAGGUA